CCCGUGCGUCCCCGGGACCGCACGUUUACCCCCGCGGUGCUCUUAACUGAGUGUCCGCGGUUGCGGGUGACCGAACGUUUACCUUGACAAAACCGGAGUGCUCGAGGCGUGGGCGUUCGCCGCCCGUACGUCCUCGCUGGGAAUAAUGGAAGAGGACCGUUGGUCAAAAAAGGUUUUUUGUCAGAGAGGCGGAGAGCAAAAAGGAGGUUGUGUUGGCGGGGGGUUAAAAAGGGGGGCGACUCCCUUUCCCCCUCUGGCCUUCCUCUUUCUCCUCCUUGAAACCUUCCUCCCCGCGUCCCGCACCGGGGACCGGUCGGCGCUUUUCGGCGGAAAGGGAGGUUUGAGACAGAAGGGCGAAAGCAGGUGAUCGUUUGCCGGAAAGCGAAAGCUGGACGGCCGGUCGUCUGUGGAAACCUGGAAUCUUAUUCCCCCUCACUGUCGUGGUGCUUCCGGCUCUUCGGUGUCAGCGGGAGGAGGUCGAAAACCAUAAUAAAAAUAACGUGUCAUGAUUAAGAGGGACGGCCGGGGGCAUUCGUACCGCGGCGCGAGAGGUGAAAUUCUAGGACCGUCGCGAGACGAACGAUAGCGAAAGCAUUUGCCAAGAAUGUUUUCCUUAAUCAAGAACGAAAGUCGGAGGUUCGAAGGCGAUCAGAUACCGCCCUAGUUCCGACCUUAAACCAUGCCGUCCGACCGCCCGCCAGGGUUACUACCGCGACUCGGCGGGCGGUGACUUUCCACCGGGAAACCCUUAAGCUUUCGGGUUCCGGGGGAAGUACGGUCGCAAAGCUGAAACUUAAAGGAAUUGACGGAAGGGCACCACCAGGAGUGGAGCCUGCGGCUUAAUUUGACUCAACACGGGGAACCUCACCCGGCCCGGACACCGCGAGGAUUGACAGAUCGAUAGCUCUUUCUCGAUCCGGUGGGUGGUGGUGCAUGGCCGUUCUUAGUUGGUGGAGCGAUCUGUCUGGUUAAUUCCGAUAACGAACGAGACUCUAGCCGGUUAAGUAGCCCGAGUGGCGUGUUGUUGAUUUAAAAACCGCCCUAGUGGCAUUCGUGUCGUUUUCUCGGAAGCUGGCUGGCUUUAACGGUGAUGGGUGAGGGUCGUAGGGAGGUGAUGGUUCGGGUAGCGUGCGUCGCUGCUUGGGUCUAGCUUUCUAACUUCCCUUUACUUCUGUCCUGUUUUGGCCUUUCACUUUUGGGAGCGUCUGCUUGCCUAACUAGGGUAGAUAAAACGCUAACGAGAGUCGGGGGAGCGGGCGUUACUUGUGGAAUGGGCGGGCACGCCACAUGGUGUGUCACUCUUCCCGGUUUCGUAUAUCUGUUUCUCCCGUCGUCUCGCGCCACCGGCUUUCGAGUGCAAAAGCUUCUUAGAGGGACGAGCGGCGUUCAGCCGCGCGAGAUUGAGCGAUAACAGGUCUGUGAUGCCCUUAGAUGUCCGGGGCCGCACGCGCGCUACACUGAAGGGGUCAACGCGCCGUUACGUUUCCCGGGCCGAAAGGCUCGGGGAACCGGUGGAACCCCGACGUAGCGUUCGUGCUAGGGACAGGGACUUGCAAUUGUGUCCCUCGAACGAGGAAUUCCCAGUAGGCGCGAGUCAUCAGCUCGCGCCGAUUACGUCCCUGCCCUUUGUACACACCGCCCGUCGCUACUACCGAUCGAACGAUUUAGCGAGGUCUUCGGACCGGCGGCCGAAGGUGCGCAAGCGCCGGCGGC
Molecule: ribosomal RNA, 1713 nt
Filed under: Epiperipatus sp. MZUSP 0018
Lineage: Eukaryota; Metazoa; Onychophora; Udeonychophora; Euonychophora; Peripatidae
Description: bacterial SSU rRNA
Rfam family: Eukaryotic small subunit ribosomal RNA
Source: RNAcentral